RNAcentral lists this ribosomal RNA (366 nucleotides) under uncultured bacterium. Its description in RNAcentral is "bacterial SSU rRNA". It matches the Rfam family "Bacterial small subunit ribosomal RNA", at positions 29 to 421 of the family's 1533-position model. The record is from RNAcentral.
AGCGAACGCUGGCGGCAGGCCUAAUACAUGCAAGUCGAGCGGGUCCUUCGGGAUUAGCGGCGGACGGGUGAGUAACGCGUGGGAACGUGCCCUUUGGUACGGAACAACUGAGGGAAACUUCAGCUAAUACCGUAUGUGCCCUUCGGGGAAAGAUUUAUCGCCAUUGGAGCGGCCCGCGUUGGAUUAGGUAGUUGGUGAGGUAAAGGCUCACCAAGCCUACGAUCCAUAGCUGGUCUGAGAGGAUGACCAGCCACACUGGGACUGAGACACGGCCCAGACUCCUACGGGAGGCAGCAGUAGGGAAUCUUGCGCAAUGGGCGAAAGCCUGACGCAGCCAUGCCCGGCGUGAAUGAUGAAGGUCUUAGG